CGGCGGACGGGUGAGUAACGCGUAGGAAUCUACCCAGUAGUGGGGGAUAGCCCGGGGAAACUCGGAUUAAUACCGCAUACGCCCUAAGGGGGAAAGGCCGGGAUCUUCGGACCGGUCGCUAUUGGAUGAGCCUGCGUAAGAUUAGCUUGUUGGUGGGGUAAAGGCCUACCAAGGCGACGAUCUUUAGCUGGUCUGAGAGGGUGACCCCCCACACUGGUACUGAGACACGGACCAGACUCC
Molecule: ribosomal RNA, 240 nt
Filed under: uncultured bacterium
Lineage: Bacteria
Description: partial 16S ribosomal RNA
Rfam family: Bacterial small subunit ribosomal RNA
Source: RNAcentral